Molecule: ribosomal RNA, 663 nt
Filed under: uncultured bacterium
Lineage: Bacteria
Description: partial 16S ribosomal RNA
Source: RNAcentral
UGCCAGCCCUCUCUCACAUUUACAUGCCUGUCGCAAGAAGGCUUCGAGCUUAGUGAGCGCACGGGUGCGUAACGCGUGGAAUCUGCCCUUGGGUACGGAAUAACUCAGAGAAAUUUGUGCUAAUACCGUAUAAUGACCUUCGUGUUCCAAACUGACUUUACUCUGCCCAAGUGACUGACGGCCCUGCUGUAACGACUUACUGCUACGUUUGUGUUGUGUGUGUAACAACUGCUACCAAGUGGCGACUGACUCUCUUUACGGCCUUGUGUUCUUGACGACGGUGACUUGAUUCAGCCACAACUUGUGUGAACUUGAUGGAACACUGGCACCCUAGAACAUCCCCUACCGUGUGGAUGGUGGCCAUGGCAAUGUUGUGUGUGGACACUUAAUAUUGUGCACCAAAAUUGGGGUGCCUGAAAAGAAGCCCAUUGAAUUCCCCCAGGCCAAUUGCCCCCGCCGGUUUGAAAGGUUUGCACUUGGAAAUGGUGGCCUAUACGGUGGGGUUCUUGGUUCUAUAGCAAGGCUUACGUUAUAUCAACCCCCCUGUGGUGGCAAUUGCAUUCGAAUUUGCAACCGAGGGUUCACCACUUGGGAGCAUGCCACAAUCACAAGCCGUCCCCUGUGGCCUUAUCAAACUUCCCCAGAUUUGACCCCAAAGGCACC